This 251-nucleotide ribosomal RNA is filed under the name uncultured bacterium. RNAcentral describes it as "partial small subunit ribosomal RNA". It matches the Rfam family "Bacterial small subunit ribosomal RNA", at positions 26 to 288 of the family's 1533-position model. The record is from RNAcentral.
AGGACGAACGCUGGCGGCGUGCUUAACACAUGCAAGUCGAACGAGGUGCUUCGGCACUUAGUGGCGAACGGGUGAGUAACACGUGAGCAACCUGCCCUUGGCUCUGGGAUAGCCUCCGGAAACGGGGAUUAAUACCGGACAUGACCUUCCCCGGCAUCGGGGUUGGUGGAAAGUUUUUCGGCCAGGGAGGGGCUCGCGGCCUAUCAGCUUGUUGGGGGGGUAACGGCCCACCAAGGCGACGACGGGUAGCC